RNAcentral lists this long non-coding RNA (3276 nucleotides) under Citrus sinensis (sweet orange). RNAcentral describes it as "long non-coding RNA (CSIN_LNC002495)". The record is from RNAcentral. Lineage: Eukaryota; Viridiplantae; Streptophyta; Magnoliopsida; Sapindales; Rutaceae.
UGAAGUAUUGGAUUUUUGGAUAACCGAAUAGAGGAACUGUUAUCACAAAAAAUCGUAGUACACUUAUUUUCCUCCAAACUCAGCUUCUCAAAUAUCCUCUUUAUCCAUAUGGCUUGACUUGCACAUGCAGCUCCAGGUACGAACUCUGCCUCUGUAGUGGUAAAGUAACAAUUGGUUGUUUUUUCGAGGACCAAGCCACAACUCCUGAACCUAGCAUAAAGACAUAACCUGAUGUGCUAUUGCAAUCAUUCAAAUCGCCUACAUAAUUACUGUCUGUAUACCCAACCGGACCCUCAUUUCCUCAUUUUCUGUAAAAAACUCCAAGCUCUAUUGUUCUUUCAAGUACCUUAUGAUCCUUUUGACUACCAACAUAUGCAAUUCAGUUGGUUUUGACAUUUACCUACUUACCAAGCUCACAACAUGCAUUAAAUUCGGCCUUGUAGCUGUGAGAUACAUGAGACAUCCCACCAUCUGCUUGUACAAAGUCUCGUCAACUUGAACUCCAUUUUCAUCCUGAAACAACCUACAACUUGGGACUAUAGGGUUGUGAACCAAGUUAUAGUUCUCCAUUUAAAAUUUUCUCAAUACCUCCGAUGCAUACUUUCUUUGGUACAUGUAAAUUCAAUCUGACGUUUGCAACACUUCAAUACCAAGAAAGUAUCUCAUUCUUCCCAAAUCAGUCAUGUCACAUUCUUUUAACAUAGAACUCUUGAACUCAGCGAACAUUAUUUCAUCAUUGCCAGUAAAUAUUAAAUCAUCUACAUACAAACUGACAAUUAGAAUUUUACCUCAUUCUUUUGUCUUAAUGAAUAGAGUUUGCUUGCUGUAGCACUUUUCGAAUCCUUGACUCACAAAAUGUGCUUCAAUAUGACUGAACCAAGAUCGUGGAGCUUGUUUUAGUCCAUAUAAGGCCUUCUUCAAUUUGUACACCUUCUGAGGAUAUUUCUCUAACUCAUAACCCCUUAGUUGCUUUACGUACACCUCUUCCUUGAGUUCUCCAUGCAAGAACGUAGAUUUAACAUCAAGUUGAUAGACGUUCCAUCCUUUCUGAGUUGCUAGAGGCACAAUCAUCCUUACGGUAUCCAUCCUCGCAACCAGUACAAAGACCUCUGUGUAGUCAAUCCCUUGUUGUUGCACGUACCCUUUAGCUACCAACCUAACUUUGAAUUUUUCUAACUCUCCAUUUUCCUUUAGCUUAGUCUUAUAUACCAUUUCAAACCUAUCUUUUUUGCACCAACAGGUAAAUUGGUGAGCUCCCAAGUAUUGUUUUUCUCUAUUGCCUUGAUCUCCAUGUCCAUGCCCAUCCUUUACUUGUCAUGCUUCACGGCCUCCUCAAAAUGCAUUGGAUCUGCUGACGUAAACAAAACCAAAUUGACAUUUGCAUCUUCUUCUUCCUCUGAAAGUCAUUUCCCAAUUACAUAAUCUCUCAUCCACAUAGGAGGUAUUCUGUUUCGUCUUUCAUUUUCACCAUUUUAAGGACUGCUACCCGGUUCAGCGACUUCUUCCUCUUCACUCACUACUGCCUUAUUGACAUUUGCAUCUUCUUCUUCCUCUGAAAGUCAUUUCCCAAUUACAUAAUCUCUCAUCCACACAGGAGGCUCAUCCACACAGAAGGUCUUCUGUUUCGUAUUUCAUUUUCACUAUUUUGAGUACUGCUACCCGGUUCAGUGACUUCUUCCUUUUCACUCAUUGCUGCCUCAUUUUCUACAUCUGUUAUCUCAUUAUCUUCUUUAUCUCCACAAUUCAAGUUGACCACCAUUUGCUCUUCAUAAUUUUUAUCCCAAUUCCAAGACUUGUUUUCUUUAAAGACCAUAUCCCUACUAAUUAUAAUUUUCUUGGCAACAGAAUCAUAGAGUCUAUAUGCUUUAGACUCUUCACUCACUCUUAAAAGUACACAAGUGAUACUCCUAGCAUCUAGCUUUUUUCUUUCGCCUCUGGAACAUGCACAUGAGCCACACAUCCGAAAAUCCUAAAGUGUUAUAUUGAAGGUUUUCUUCCGCUCCAAGCUUCUUCGAGAGUUUGAUUCAUCAUAGCUAAUGUUGGACAUCGAUUUAGAGCAUAGAACGCCCAAUUCACUACGUCUAGCCAAAAUGUCUUGGGGAGUUUUUUUUUUCAUAUACAUACAUUGAACCAUGUUCAUCACUGUUCAAUUCUUCCGCUCGGCUACUCUGUUUUGUUGAAGAGUAUAGGCUGCGGUCAAUUAUCUUUUGGUACCAUGCUGGGAGCAGAACUCAUUGAAUUCAAUGAUGUGAACUCCCCUCCUUGAUUUGUUCUCAAACAUUUAAUAUAUCCUCCUACUUUUUUCUAAACAUAAUUCUUAAAAUGUUUGAAUAAGUUCAAUGCUUCUGACUUUUCUACUAAAAAGUAAAUCCAUGCUUUUCUAGAAAAAUCGCCAAUAAAACAUAUAAGGUACCUGUUCUUGCUUUUGGAGAUUGGAUAAAUUGGACCGCAAAGAUCGGCAUGAAUAAGUUGAAGCUUUUUAGUAGCCCUCUAAUUGCUCUUUCUUGGAAUUGUAUUAAUGUUUUGCUUCUCAGUCAGACAAUCUUCACACACUCUUGAUGGAGCAUCAAAGUGGGGCAUACUGAUAACUCUAAGAAAUGAGAGUUAUUACAUCAAUUUUAGACUUGAAUCAAGAUUACUUAGAGAACAAAUAAGGUGUUUUUAUUACAUUUUGCACAAACAUUCAUUGUAGUUGAGUCUUAAUAAAUUUUGCUUGAAUCAAAGUAAUUUGUGAUAAAAAUAGGUGAAUAAUUGUAGGUUUUCGGAGAGUCUAAAUUCAUGAGGAGAUGUUAAAGCAUUAGAAGGGCAAAAGGAGGAAAGAAGAUGGCCACAAAAAGAAGUAAAGUACAAUUGAGAAUAAGGCAGUGUUUUAGCAGAUGUUAGAGCAACCUAUACUGCAGCAAUCUGGGAGCAAUGCGCGAGAAAAUUUAGGUGGGGAUCAGCCGUUAAAAGCGUAAUCUGCAUGCUUCCUAUUUUAACGCAUGCAUGCUUAUGGGCUUUCGUUUUGCCCUAAUUUGCAAUAUAAAAGGGAAGCAUGCACCACAUGGAAGGGCAGCAAGGAAUUAUCAUCUAAUAAUUGAAAGGCAAGAAGAAGAAGAUCGAGGUUGAAGAGUACUGUUGGGUAAUAUUGAAGAACCGUGCAGAAUUCUUUGUCUUUCACCGUGCUCAACUUAUAUUUCUAUUCUUCCUUUAAUUGUUUGGAUGUAUUCUGUAAUCAACAUAUUUAUGUUUACUUUUAUCAUUCCGAAUAUGAACUAAAUUUACUUGUAGUUGAGU